Molecule: ribosomal RNA, 440 nt
Filed under: uncultured bacterium
Lineage: Bacteria
Description: bacterial SSU rRNA
Rfam family: Bacterial small subunit ribosomal RNA
Source: RNAcentral
AGAGUUUGAUCCUGGCUCAGAUUGAACGCUGGCGGCAUGCCUUACACAUGCAAGUCGAACGGCAGCGCGGGGGCAACCCUGGCGGCGAGUGGCGAACGGGUGAGUAAUAUAUCGGAACGUGCCCUAGAGUGGGGGAUAACGUAGCGAAAGUUACGCUAAUACCGCAUACGAUCUAAGGAAGAAAGCGGGGGAUCGCAAGACCUCGCGCUCGUGGAGCGGCCGAUAUCUGAUUAGCUAGUUGGUAGGGUAAAAGCCUACCAAGGCGACGAUCAGUAGCUGGUCUGAGAGGACGACCAGCCACACUGGGACUGAGACACGGCCCAGACUCCUACGGGAGGCAGCAGUGGGGAAUUUUGGACAAUGGGCGCAAGCCUGAUCCAGCAAUGCCGCGUGUGUGAAGAAGGCCUUCGGGUUGUAAAGCACUUUUGUCAGGAACGAAA